This 501-nucleotide non-coding RNA is filed under the name Pongo abelii (Sumatran orangutan). The record is from RNAcentral. Lineage: Eukaryota; Metazoa; Chordata; Mammalia; Primates; Hominidae.
GGGAUGGAGGGGUUGGCAGCAGCACAGUAUAGUAGAAUUUUCUGAUUCACUACCACUGCUGGUGUUACAGCGUGAACGUGACCUGAAGACAAAAUGGCUGUACAGAGUCAUUGUCACUUCCACAGGAGGGGUUUCGGCGACGCGUGUAAGGGAACUUUGGUGACUUAGUGCGGUCACUGGGAGAAUUGUAGAGUCCACUGGAGAGAAAGAAAAAUGGUCAAAAAGAGCCCAGAGAGUUCCUGGGGGAACACACACCCCAGCCUAGACCUAGAGUUAUUCAUAACUGCACAGCUGGUACUUCCAGAGGCACACGCACCAGGGGCAUGUGGUUCUCUUUGCUGACAAGAUUUAUUGAAGGAAAAGAGGAAAGAACUAUUCUAAAAUGGAACCCUCCCUCCAAAAAAGCCCAACCAGUCAAAGCAAUUCUAGGCAAAAAGAACAAAGCUGGAGGCAUCACACUACCCGACUUCAAACUAUACUACAAGGCUACAGUAACAAAAA